Molecule: non-coding RNA, 6887 nt
Organism: Cricetulus griseus (Chinese hamster)
Lineage: Eukaryota; Metazoa; Chordata; Mammalia; Rodentia; Cricetidae
Source: RefSeq, a predicted model, not a curated record
CUGGGGACUGAAGGCGGUCUUGGCUUCAGGGCCCAGGAGGAACUGCUGCUGCUCUUCACCAUGGCUUCUCUGCACCCGGCUUUCUGGUUCCACCAGCGGGUCACCCUGAGGGAGCACCUGGAGAGGCUCCGCAGCGCGCUCCGCGUGGAGCCCGAGGACCCGGAGGUGGAGCCGUGCAACUUUGCGGGCUUCAGGGCCCAGAACGACUCUGCUUGUGGUGAUUAUAUACAGAGUAAUGAGACUGGCUUAGUAGAACAAGCCCAAAUACCUCAAGACGGACUCACUGUGGCCCCUCACAGAGCUCAGCGAGAAGCUGUACACAUUGAGAAGAUAAUGUUGAAAGGAGUGCAGAGAAAAAGGGCUGACAAGUAUUGGGAGUACACUUUCAAAGUAAAUUGGUCUGACCUUUCAGUCACAACAGUAACAAAAACCCACCAAGAGCUACAGGAAUUUCUACUGAAGCUUCCAAAGGAAUUGUCUUCUGAGACCUUUGACAAGGCCAUCUUAAGAGCCCUGAAUCAGGGUUCUCUAAAAAGGGAAGAGCGGCGGCACCCUGACCUGGAGCCUAUCCUCAGGCAGCUAUUUUCAACUUCAUCCCAAGCUUUUCUUCAGAGUCAGAAAGUACGCAGCUUCUUCCAGUCACUGUCCUCGGAGUCUCAGCACAGUGUCAAUAACUUACAGUCCUCUCUGAAGACUUCUAAGAUAUUAGAACACUUAAAAGAAGACAGCUCAGAAGCUUCAAGUCAAGAAGAAGAUGUGUUACAGCACACCAUAAUCCACAAGAAACAUGGUGGGAAGAGUCCGGCUGUGAACAGUGUUGGUACAAGCUGUUCUCCAUUGGAUGGGCUUACCAUGCAGUAUGCAGAACAGAAUGGAAUUGUGGAUUGGAGGAACCAAGGCUGUGCCAUCAUCCAGCACCCAGAGCACUGUGUGACCUCAGCUGACCAACACUCUGCUGAAAAACGGAGCUUAUCUUCAGUAAAUAAGAAGAAAGGGAAGCCACAAAUAGAAAAGGAGAAAAUUAAGAAAACCGAGAACAGAUUGAACAGUAGAAUAAAUGGUGUUAGACUCUCUGCUCCUCAGCAUGCUCAUGGCAGUACUGUGAAAGACAGUUCCACUAACUGGGGAUCUACCAUUGAAACAUAUAAACCUAUUGGGAGCCCAUUCUCAUUCAGACCACCAGGUGGGAGAAAGAUGACCUGGAAAAACCCAUCUUUCCUAUCUAAGGCUGUGGUCCAGGAGCAUAUGAUGUCUGAUGUUCUAGAUGAUAUGAAUUUGGACAUUGGAUCUGGACAUGACACAUGUGGAGAAACAUCUUCAGAGAGUUACAGUUCUCCGUCUAGUCCACGACAUGAUGGAAGAGAAAGUUUGGAAAGUGAAGAAGAAAAGGACAGAGACACGGACAGCAAUUCUGAAGAUUCUGGGAAUCCGUCAACAGCCAGGUUUACAGAUUAUGGCUCUGUCAACCAGACUGUCACUGUCAAGCCACCUGUUCAGAUUGUCUCACUGGGGAAUGAGAAUGGAAGCCUUUUAGAAGCUCCAUUGACCUCACACAAGUAUCCACAUAUUCCCUUUAUGCCAACUCUACACUGUGUCAUGCACAAUGGUGCCCAGAAGUCAGAAGUUGUCAUUCCUUCACCCAAAUCUGCAGAUGGCAAAACAAUAGGGAUGCUUGUUCCUAAUCCUAUGGCUAUCUCUACAGUGAUGGAGUCUACAAAUUCAAGCCCUGUUGGAAUCCUAGGCCCCACAGCUUCUGGAGAAUCAGAGAAACACCUGGAAUUGUUGGCUUCCCCUUUACCUAUCCCAUCAUCCUUCCUUCCACACGGUGGUUCUCCUGCUUUGCAGCUAACAUUGCAGAGGCUGAAAUUGCCACCACCACAGGGAUCUUCUGAGAGUUGUACAGUUAAUAUUCCACAACAGCCAACUGGAAGUCUGAGCAUUGGAUCACCAAACACUGCCUUUAUUCCUGUCCAUAACCCAGGUAGUUUCCCGGGAUCUCCUGUGGCUACCACGGACCCCAUCACAAAGUCUGCAUCCCAAGUGGUAGGACUAAAUCAAAUGGUGCCUCAGAUUGAGGGAAACACAGGAACAGUCCCUCAGCCUACCAAUGUGAAGGUAGUUCUUCCGGCAGCUGGCCUCUCAGCUGCACAGCCACCAGCUUCCUACACCUUUCCAGGCUCACCCCUUGCUGCUAGUGUGCUACCCACCCAGAAUUCCACCUCUGCCCAGCCAACAAGUGCAGGCAUCAGUCAAGCCCAGUCUACAGUUCCUCCUGCUGUUCCUACCCACACCCCAGGUCCUGCCCCAAGCCCCAGCCCUGCCUUGACACACAGUACUGCUCAGAGUGAUAGCACAUCUUACAUCAAUGCUGUGGGGAACACGAACGCUAAUGGGACCAUAGUGCCACCACAGCAGAUGGGCUCAGGUCCUUGUGGUUCUUGUGGGCGAAGGUGCAGCUGUGGGACCAAUGGAAACCUUCAGCUAAAUAGUUACUAUUAUCCCAAUCCAAUGCCUGGACCAAUGUACCGAGUCCCAUCGUUCUUCACUCUGCCAUCCAUUUGCAAUGGCAGCUACCUCAACCAAGCACACCAGAGCAAUGGAAGCCAACUUCCUUUUUUUCUGCCUCAGACUCCAUAUGCAAAUGGACUGGUGCAUGACCCAGUCAUGGGGAGCCAAGCCAACUAUGGCAUGCAACAGAUGGCAGGAUUUGGGAGAUUGUAUCCUGUAUAUCCAGCACCUAAUGUAGUUGCCAAUACCAGUGGUUCUGGGCCCAAGAAGAAUGGGAAUGUCUCAUGUUACAAUUGUGGUGUAAGCGGACACUAUGCACAAGACUGUAAACAGUCAUCCAUGGAGGCCAAUCAACAAGGCACUUACAGACUGAGAUACGCACCUCCCCUCCCCCCUUCUAAUGAUACGUUGGAUUCUGCAGACUGAACGAGCAAAGCUUGCCUACUUAAUGCACUCAAGUGCGGGGAGUCAUGGGGUGUGGAGGGGAGGAAAGGAAAGGUAUUUUGUUUCUUUGUCUGUACAUUUCCUAAAUUUCUAUGCAGUUGGGAGUUUUCAUUCUCUGUACCAAUGUCCAAAAUAACACAGAAUGCGAUGCUCCUGAGCCUCUGGUCCCCUGGCUCAACAGCAGGCUUGUAUGAUAUAUGUAACUUAAAUUUCAGACAAACUCAUGAACAACGUUGACGUGUGCUUUUUUACACUGAAUACUUGCUGUGUACAAUGUUUACUGAAUCUUUAAACUGUGUAUUGAUCUUAUUUGUUUUCACGACACUGGGAAUAGUCGUAUGGUUUGGGGAAAAGCUGUGCUGCUUGAGGCUUUCUCAUUUUAACCCUAAACUACACUUCUCUGAUCGCCACCCUCUCCCUGGCCUGUGUGGGGGGUGCUCAGCACUGUCCUUGUGGCUCUUCUGUGACCUGCUCUGUGUGACCCAAGGGCAACAUGUCUCACCAUACAUUUUAGAAGUCAGCUUCCCAAGAAGUAUGUAUAUAUGUCAUAAACAACAUCACGUAAAUACAUAUAUGCGGCACUUGUCCAAAUAACAUGAAAACAAGUGGGAGAGAGGAGGUCAGACUUCGGGAAGUCGAAAAUUUGAAAUGGACAAACUGGCUUUUCUUGAGAGAACAACUUUUCCUUCCAUCAUACUUUUGUAGCCUGUUGCUUCAGAGAGACACAAAGUGAACACUAGUGUGAGUGUUGUUCUCUGUAUGCUUGUGUCUGUGAUGACUGUCAGCAGCCAGUUCUACUUGUCUACCACCUUGACCUGAUUAGGCCCUACCUGAGUGAAGACGUCAUCUUCUGCUGCACCAGCUGUUACAGUGUUCCAUUGUGUUUACAUGUGUGUGGUCUGUCACAUCUGAACAGAGGCUGUGGGUUUCUACAGAAGGCAGGGGUCUGCUCUCUAACCUGUGUCUCAUAGCAAAGUCACUUUUAUAACCGUUUACCACUAUGCUUGAUUAUAAUGUGAAAGACUGAAUUCCAAGUGUGUUGAGACGGUUUUAAUCAUGUCAUUGUCAUGGCACUAAGUUUAAUGCUGCUGGGUUGUUUUGGUUUUUUGUUUUGUUUUUCUGUUUUUUAACUUUUUAAAAAAAAGCCAAUCUAUGUACUAAAUUGCUUCCAGGUAAUUUUUUGAUUUCCUGAAGUGCACUGAGGUUAUCUGGGCGAUUGGAUGUAUCAUCAGUGACUGCCGCACUCACAGCAGUGAACGAAUACCACCACAUAGUUGUAAGCUGUAAGCGUAAGGGGUAAAGGGAGGGGGGGUUCCAUUCCUUAGUAAAGAGUAGAAAUGAUUGGCUUGGGUUGUGGGCAAUACAGUUGGGGUGUGGCAGAGGCACUGAAAUGUUAGCCUGACAUUGUGAGACAAAGAAGAAAAAAAAAACUUGAAGAAAAAAGCUAGUUCAACACUUCAAAAGUAGCGUUUAUAUUUCUAGCACCGAUGUACAUUCUGAGACUUUCAGGGGUGGGCACUAUGGGGAGAGACGGGGGAGUGUGACCGGGUAGACAAAGCUUUAAUUUAGAAAGAAAAAAGUUCAAGUAAAGGAAAUUAUUUUGAUUAAAUAUAUUUUAUUUGAUCUGGGUAUUUUUGGACCACAUUAUUAAAUUGUUAAGCUGCGGUUGAGUUGUUCAGGGGAGAGUACCUAAGCCUUGUACAGGCCUGUUGUGACUCACUUGCCAGGUGUACUUUAUGGAGUUUAUUUUAUGAUUUCAAAUACUGUACUGUACAUAGGAGGUGUGUUACCUUCUCCUUAUUUGUAUGUUUACCAUAUACUUUGAUAUUUGAAAUGUUAUGUACUGGAAAGGCCACUUAUAUUUCUAGGACAGAUUGGAUUUUAUGCAACCUUUUUCCUUGAAUUAACAGCAAUAAAAAAAAUGAAAACAGCUUAAGAAUUGUGCCUUAUUGCAAGUUUUAUAAAAUUGAAAGUGGAUUUUCAUGGUAAUUUUUCUGGUAAAGAAUCAGUUCAUUUCCCUCCACACAGGAUUCACUGCCUGGAUGUUCUUUAGUCUUUCCCUAGUGUAGGUCAUCAGUGCAGCCUCUGAAGGAAGGGAAGACGUAUGGUAUGCCAAGGCCUUCUUCACAAACAAGGGAAGCCCGUCUCCCCAUUAACUAGGCUUCUGGUUUAGGAGCCCCCUUACUCACGGCACCCAAGUUUUCCAUUUUGCUGAUUUCUAUUUCUUUUUUCUCUUUGGCUGUGGGAGGCACACAACUAUCAUGGUUUGUUUUUCUAUAAUCCAGUUUAAGUCAAAAUCUUAAAACCAUCAGACAGUUCUAAAACAUUGGAGGCCAGUGUGCUUCUUGUGCUGUCAAUGUCUUUCUGAAGUACUUCUACCCCAGGUAUUCAGCAUAGGCAGGACACUGAAGGGUAGGGCCAAGGCUGUUAGAUUAUUGCCUGACCACUAUACAUGGGUGUUUGGUUGUUCAUAGAGCACUCUAUUAGUUCCUUUCCUACUGUCAUGAUAAAGCACCAUGGCCAAGGUAACCUAUAGAAGACAACUGUGUUUGAACUUAGGGUUCCAGUGAGUUAAAAUCUAUCAUGAUGGAAGUUUGAGCAGGAUGCUGAGGGUUCUUGUCUUGAACUGCCAACACAAAGCAGAGAGGGCAAGCUGAGAGUGACAGGAGGCCACUCUCAUAGCCUGCCUCCAGUGACACACUUCUCCACCAAGGCACACUUCCUAAACCUCCUCAAGCUGCCACCAUUACUGAUCUGGGGACUAAGUAUUCAGUGCCUGACACUGGGGGGACAUCAUUCAAGCCGUAGCAGGCACCAGCUUCCCCAUUCCCCUGUUGACCUCACAGGAGGAAUGAACUUCACAUUAACCAGCGUCUCUCCACCCUUCACCCCACCAGUCAAUAGUCUGUUUGGCCACCUGUUGACCGCUAUGAAAGCUGUGCUCUUUUUGACCUUGCGAAAGGGAGUCUUCUCUCUCAGCCUGCUGGGGCUAGGUCUGCUCAUCUGCUUUGUGACCCAUGCUGCAUUUGUGACACUCACUUUAACACCUUGAAAUACUAUCAUGAGGAUGAGUGGGUCCAUUGUCCUGUCAGUGAACAUUAGGUGGCCCGCUUCUCUCUUUCUUACCAACUUAGAAUCAGGGAUUCCAGGAAGGCGUUUUGUGCUGUCCUGGUUUGUGCAUAAGCUUGUUCAGGCAUCUAACUAGGUGUGCAGUCCGACUGGCUUUCCAAGACUCACAGUAUCUCCUUCCAAGUGACACACACACUCCUCUCAUGCACUAAGGGACCCUGAGAUGCUAUCCUGACAGUCCCCCAAGGUGCUGUCCUAGAAGAACAGGACGAGACUCCAGAGGGGUUUUGUAGGCCAGUGGGAGAGGUUCCAGCUUUUAAAAGGCUUCAAGUUUUAAUAGCAUCUGUUACUCAAGAACUGCAUCCACUAAGCCUUGGGAGGCAUCUUUGUCCAGUUCUGUGUGCCGAUGGAAGCAUUCUAACAGUGAGGCAAUGAAGCCACAUAGAGCAAGCUUCAGCAUAAUCCAACCCAGAACCCUUCGGUGACUUCUCAAGAGAAUGCAUGCAAAUGCAUGUACACACACAGCACACACAUUCACUUUCAGAACAGAUUGUGACACUGGAGGUGCGAUCAAAUGAACACUCCGACUUGCAUCUCUGAUCUUCCUCAUGGGGCAAGGAUGGCUACAAUGAGAACGGCUCUGGGGGCCCAGAGAGGAGCAGCAUGUGUGACUGGGGACCCUGAGUGAUCAGCUGCACUAUUGACUUUCACUAUGAAUUUGAACAGAGACAGGCUGUGCGAGGCAGCCCAUCCUUUCUGGGCUACUCCCAUUACUGGCUUACAUUGCUUGGAUUGGAUCCCCAAAGUCAUUUUUACCACGAAUACUUUUUCUUGUUAUUGUGUAUAAAUCACAGCUACUGUGCCUA